CCCAGGUGCCCUGUGAGAACUUGUAAGAUUUCUUCCGCUAGCAACUUUCAAAGGCAAAAGGUUGUUGAACGCUGGCUCUCUCUGAAUGCCCCCAAAAUAACCCGUGCAGAAGGCCAGGCUCAGUUCAGUGCUUAUCAAGAUUUUAUCCGGAAGUCAUCUCUACAUCCAACCCGGGGCUCGAACUCACAACCCUGAGAUCAAGAAUCGCAUGCUCCACCAAAUGAGCCAGCCAGGCUUGGUUACCGUUCACAUAAGUGCAUGUAUGACCUGAGCAUUUGACCAGACUUCCUGGUGGCCCACGCAGUGGCUUAUGAGGUGAGAGGGAAGAAUCCAGCACAUGCAUGUGGGUAA
Prionailurus viverrinus (fishing cat) is the source of this 351-nucleotide long non-coding RNA. RefSeq lists it as uncharacterized. Lineage: Eukaryota; Metazoa; Chordata; Mammalia; Carnivora; Felidae. The record is from RefSeq and is a predicted model, not a curated record. The transcript has 3 exons.